AGUGUCCGCCUGUCGGUUGCCCCAGAAGGACGUGUCUGCGCGUGUCGGUUUUUGGAAAAAAACUUUGUUACUAUUUUUUAAUUCAGUGAACAUUUACCAACAACCAAAUUUUUAAAUCAUGAAACGUCCCACGGAUUACACGAGAAAUUUUUUGUGAAUUUUUUAUUCAACAUUUUCCGAGAAAUAAAAAAUUUUUAACUUUUACAAAGAAAAUUCGAUUUUUCUGGAGAAAAUGGUGGUCGUGAAAUUAAUUGUGAUUGUUUUAGUGUUGUUGUUGCGGUUGUCUGUCGUCGAUUCGGAUGCUUCUUCUUCGACAGUGAUUCAGCGAUUAAUUGUCCGGCUAGAAGAUCCGUCAUCUCAUCCGUCAUCCGACAAUUGCACACUCUUUUUAAAAUUGGAAAACGUUUGAAAUUUACCUGAAAGAGAAGUUCCAGACGGUCGUUUGCAAAGUAUAGGGCAUGAGUGUCAGUUAAAGUCCCGCUUAGCAAAAGGUAAGAGCGACAAGUCGACUUGUUUGGCUGAGGCGCUUGGACGAUCAAAAUAUGGUUGGGCUGAUUGUAUGUCAACAAGAGGUUACGUUAAUCUUCGCAACGCAGGAAAGGUUUAUACAAAGUCCUAAACUACUAGAAACUCGUCAACUCGGUUUGCACUUCAUCCAGAAGUUUGCCGUCUUCUCCAGUUUUGGUUUCGGGGACAAUUUCUUUUAAAGUGAGAUGUUAGUGAUAAAGUCCAAAAGAAAUCCACGUCCGUCCGUGCAGCGAAAUUUUUCAAACAGUGCACAUAACAUUUUUGUUGCCGUUUUUUGGGGUGUUUAAAACUAGAAUGCCAAAACAUCAUUUUAAAAUUUUUAGCUAAUUUUCCCGUAAUUCUUACAAGGUUGCUCGGUGACUUAGCCGAAGGCCAACGCUUGCAACGCGAGGUCUAGUACUUUUAAAAAGUUCGUCUGCCUGCGUUGCCAAAUCUCAAAUAAAUUGAACCGAUAUUUCUUCUGACUUGGCAACUUUGUAUCUUUGAGUUCGAAGGACGGAACGGAAGGACGAAGUCGAAUGAUCGGAAUGAAGCUUACAAACUUCCCUUACAUUCAUCAAAGUUAACAUCAAUGGAAUGGAAGCUGCAAUUUCAAAUAUCAGUUUUCGAGAAUCCAUCAUCGCAAAUUUAUGGUCAUCUCUAAAUUUCCAAAGGAAAGGCAUUGAUAAACAUGGAUUUCAUUGUUCAAAUAUUCCCAGCCAUUGUGAGAUUUUUUUGACUGGACAUGACUAAAAGGACUUGAGGGAAAAUGUCUGCUGCUGUGUCACCUCUCAAACGGAUCUUUCAACAUGGACUCUACUGGAUGUGUCCUGAAAGAAGAUGGGUGAGUACAAUUUUAAAAGUUUUAAUAAUCUAGUAUGUAUUUGUUUUUUUAAAUACAAAAUUUAAAUUGUA
This is a long non-coding RNA of Daphnia pulex (common water flea), 1422 nucleotides long. RefSeq lists it as uncharacterized. The transcript is spliced from 3 exons. The record is from RefSeq and is a predicted model, not a curated record. NCBI's taxonomy places the organism in Eukaryota, Metazoa, Arthropoda, Branchiopoda, Diplostraca, Daphniidae.